UGAAUACGAGACGCUAAGGCGUCGAAGCAGUGUAUGUCAUACUUCCAAGAAAAGCUUGCACUGUCAUAAGUAAAAAAUGCCUGUACCAUAACCGACACAGGUGGGUAGGUAGAGUAUACUAAGGGGCGCGAGAUAACUCUCUCUAAGGAACUCGGCAAAAUAACUCCGUAACUUCGGGAGAAGGAGUACCUUAUUCUAUAAGGUUGCAAUAACAAGAUCCAAGCAACUGUUUAUCAAAAACACAGGUCUCCGCUAAGUCGUAAGACGAUGUAUGGGGGCUGACGCCUGCCCAGUGCCAGAAGGUUAAAGAAGUCGGUUAGCAUUAGCGAAGCUGGUAACUGAAGCCCUGGUGAACGGCGGCCGUAACAAUAACGGUCCUAAGGUAGCGAAAUUCCUUGUCGGGUAAGUUCCGACCCGCACGAAAGGCGUAAUGAUUUGGAUACUGUCUCGGAGAGGGGCUCGGUGAAAUAGACUUGUCUGUGAAGAUGCGGACUACCUGCACCAGGACAGAAAGACCCUAUGAAGCUUUACUGUAACUUGAAAUUGAAAUUGGACUUUAUUCGCGCAGUAUAGGUGGGAGGUGUUGAUUAUAAUCUUGCGGGAUUAUUGGAGCCAUCAGUGAGAUACCACUCUUGUAAUGUUAGAUUUCUAACUUUGAAUCAUUAUCUGGUCAAAGGACAGUUUCAGGCGGGCAGUUUGACUGGGGCGGUCGCCUCCCAAACGGUAACGGAGGCGUACAAAGGUUUCCUCUGAACGGGUAGAAAUCGUAUCUAGAGUGUAAAGGCAUAAGGAAGCUUGACUGUGAGACCUACAAGUCGAACAGGGACGAAAGUCGGUCUUAGUGAUCUGACGGUACUGAGUGGAAAGGCCGUCACUCAACGGAUAAAAGUUACUCUAGGGAUAACAGGCUGAUCUCCCCCAAGAGUUCACAUCGACGGGGAGGUUUGGCACCUCGAUGUCGGCUCAUCGCAUCCUGGGGCGGUAGUACGUCCCAAGGGUUGGGCUGUUCGCCCAUGAAAGCGGUACGCGAGCUGGGUUCAGAACAUCGUGAGACAGUUCGGUCCAUAUCCGGUGUAGGCGUUAGAAUAUUGAGAGGAGCCUUCUUUAGUACGAGAGGACCGAGAAGGACAUACCUCUGGUGUACCAGUUAUCGUGCCAACGGUAAACGCUGGGUAGCUAUGUAUGGAGUGGAUAACCGCUGAAAGCGUCUAAGUGGGAAGCCCACCUCAAGAUAAGUAUUCUCU
Molecule: ribosomal RNA, 1244 nt
Filed under: metagenome
Description: bacterial LSU rRNA
Rfam family: Bacterial large subunit ribosomal RNA
Source: RNAcentral